GUUGAACAGAUACUAAAGGAAUCAGUCUUUCCCAGAGCAAAAGUUCCUUUCCCUCAGAGAAAACACUUUCUCUGCCUAGCCAAAGUGCCUAACAGUCCUUCCUCUUUCAUGCAAACACAAAUAACCCCCCUUGCUCAUGUAACCCAUCUCCUCAAAUGCUAACUACCUACCACCUCUUCCAACUAACCAACAUAGGACCCUUCUAAUUCGUUUCACUCUACACUUUCCAAAUUGUGGUCUAGCAUACUAAAUCCUUUCCUAUAUCAGAGCUCAAACUAGCAACUCUAUCAC
RNAcentral lists this long non-coding RNA (291 nucleotides) under Glycine max (soybean). Its description in RNAcentral is "long non-coding RNA (GMAX_LNC001360)". Lineage: Eukaryota; Viridiplantae; Streptophyta; Magnoliopsida; Fabales; Fabaceae. The record is from RNAcentral.